UGGGGAAUCUUGCGCAAUGGGCGAAAGCCUGACGCAGCGACGCCGCGUGAGUUAUGAAGGCCUUCGGGUUGUAAAGCUCUGUGGGGAGAGACGAAUAAGCUUUGGCUAAUAUCCAGGGUGAUGACGGUAUCUCCUUAGCAAGCACCGGCUAACUCUGUGCCAGCAGCCGCGGUAAGACAGAUGGUGCAAACGUUGUUCGGAAUUACUGGGCGUAAAGCGCAUGUAGGCGGCCUAGCAGGUCGUAUGUGAAAGCCCUCGGCUCAACCGAGGAAGUGCAUUCGAAACCGGAAGGCUUGAGUCACGGAGAGGGUAGUGGAAUUCUAGGUGUAGAGGUGAAACUCGUAGAUAUAGAGAGGAACACCGGUGGAGAAAGCGACUAACUGGACGAGGACUGACGAUGAGGUGCGAAAGCGUGGGGAGCAAACA
This 426-nucleotide ribosomal RNA is filed under the name uncultured bacterium. Its description in RNAcentral is "bacterial SSU rRNA". It matches the Rfam family "Bacterial small subunit ribosomal RNA", at positions 355 to 774 of the family's 1533-position model. The record is from RNAcentral.